GACGAACGCUGGCGGCGCGCUUAACACAUGCAAGUCGAACGGAAAGGCCUGCUUUCCCUUGUGGAUUGCGGGUACUCGAGUGUCGAACGGGUGAGUAACACGUGAGUGAUCUGCCCCCACUUUGGUAUAAACCUGGGGAACAUGGUCUAAUUCCCGUUAGGACUGCAGGGUGGUGUCGGUUGUGGUAAACGGUUUUCUAGUGGUUGGGGAUGAGCUCGCGGGCUAGUAGGUUGUUGGUGGGGUAAUGGUCUACCAAGUCGGCGACGGGUAGCCGGCCUGAGAGGGUGGACGGCCACAUUGGGACUGAGAUACGGCCCAGACUCCUACGGGAGGCAGCAGUGGGGAAUAUUGCACAAUGGGCGGAAGCCUGAUGCAGCGACGCCGCGUGGGGGAUGACGGCCUUCGGGUUGUAAACUCCUUUCGACCGCGAGGAAGCCACCUGGUUGGAAGGGUGGUGACGGUAGUGGUAGAAGAAGCACCGGCUAACUACGUG
Molecule: ribosomal RNA, 493 nt
Filed under: uncultured bacterium
Lineage: Bacteria
Description: partial 16S ribosomal RNA
Rfam family: Bacterial small subunit ribosomal RNA
Source: RNAcentral